GACGAACGCUGGCGGCGUGCUUAACACAUGCAAGUCGAACGGAAAGGCCCUGCUUUUGUGGGGUUCUCGAGUGGCGAACGGGUGAGUAACACGUGAGUAACCUGCCCUUGACUGUGGGAGAACUUCAGGAAACUGGGGCUAAUACCGGAGAGGAGAUCCUGCUGCAUGGGGUUGGUUGGAAAGUUUUGGCGUUUGUGGCUGGACUCGCGGCUUAUCAGCUGGUUGGUGUGGUAGUUGCUUACCAAGGCUUUGACGGGUAGCCGGCAUGAGAGGGUGAACGGGCACCUUGGGACUGCGAUACGGAGCAGACUGGUACGGGAGGCAGCAGUGGGGAAUAUUGCACAAUGGGCGGACGCCUGAUACAGCAACGCUGCGUGCGGGAUGCCGGCUUUCGGGUUGUGAACCGCUUUCGCAUGUGACGAGGCGUGAGUGACGGUAAUGGGUCAAGAAGCACCGGCUAACUACGUG
This 468-nucleotide ribosomal RNA is filed under the name uncultured bacterium. RNAcentral describes it as "partial 16S ribosomal RNA". It matches the Rfam family "Bacterial small subunit ribosomal RNA", at positions 28 to 507 of the family's 1533-position model. The record is from RNAcentral.